This is a long non-coding RNA of Scylla paramamosain (green mud crab), 377 nucleotides long. RefSeq lists it as uncharacterized. The transcript has 3 exons. The record is from RefSeq and is a predicted model, not a curated record. Lineage: Eukaryota; Metazoa; Arthropoda; Malacostraca; Decapoda; Portunidae.
UGUAAUAAACCAGGAAAUUUGCGUAAAAAGAAACGAAAAUCAACAAAAUAAAGAUGUCAACAACUCUUAUAAAGUCGACGUUUCCACAAGAUGGCCGCGUGACGGUAAAAAUCUUAUGUUUACGUAAUGUUUUCCCUUCAUAUCUUCGUUAUUACUUCAUCCGCCGCCUUGUGGUGACUUGUGGUGAUAGUUCAUUAUCCUGCGGUGGUGUGUGAGGGCGUGUGUGGCAAGGCAGUGGUGGUGCUGGAACGUUGGCAACACUAUUCUGCGCCCACCCCGGCCUUAUGUAGUCCACGGCGCUCUCACACACAAAGUGGCCGCCGCGCCUGCAGGAAGAGAGAGGGAGUGGGUCAGUGGGGCAGAAGUGGGUAAGAGGG